CAUAGGGUCUGUUGACUGUCUACAAACGUAGGUAUUUUGGCCGUUAUUUAGGGAAGAAUGUAUCACAAGUGCAUAAAUCCUAAAUUAUUGUCUGUAUAUGAAUAACCGUUUCAAAACACCAGGGCAAAAAUUGUCAUCUUAACUAAGACAAACCAUACUGAGGUUUUAUAAAGAACCAUGGGAGGACGGACCUUCACGAGCCCAGUUCUGGAAUAUCAGAAUCCUUUCAGAAAUACUGCUGGCUAAGUCAGAGGAGGUCCUGGAGUGUCACAAAACCCUGUCACCACCUCUCUGGUGCAGAACAUCGGCAGCCCAGUGAUCAGACCGCCAAGGACGCCUUUAGUCAUUAAAUGGAGUAGUUUAUACCCAUAGGGACAGAUUUCUCCUUACAGCUACGCGUGCAUAUUCCUACUAGAUUGCUAGAAUGGUUUUUGUUGUUGUUAUUUUUUGUUGUUGUUUUUUUUUUUUGUUUUUUUGUGUUUUGUUUUUUUGUCUAUUCUUUUUCAGGUAACUGAAGCCAUACUCAACUGAUUCUAAAUGCAAUUUGCAAACAAGAAUUUGCCUUCCAAGGACACUUCUGCUAUAGCAGUUUACAAGUUGCUUUUUUGCCCAGUCUUCCAUCUCAAGAUGAACAGGUCUGUCUUCUCCGGCAUAAGCUGCAGUCCACAGCCUUGAGUUGAAGCUAACUGACCAGGGUUCCCAUCGGGUAUGCAGCUGCUCUUAUAGAUCACUAGCAUUUGGAGUAUAGCCAAAUUGUUUUUUUUUUUUUUCUAAAUCAGUAAGCUUGCAACAUUUAUUUUGUUUUUGCUGCCAAAUAAUUGUGUCCACUCUUAAGCUUUCAAUCACGUUUAUACGGACGGCAUUUACAUUUCUUUCAAUUCAGUGGUUCUCAACCUUGCGUACGCUCCGACCCUUUAGUACAGUUCAUGUUGUGGUGCCCUCCAACCAUAAAAUUAUUUUUGUUGCUACUUCAUAACAACAGUUAUUUUGCUGUUAUGAAUUAUAAUGUAAAUAUUUGGGGGGGACAGAGGUUUACCAAAGGGGUUUGUAAGCUGAGAGCCAUCUUCUGGUGGUCUUAGAGAUACCAAGAUCUCAUCAGCAAAAUAAGGAAGAAAGGCUGAAGCACCAAGUGUUAGUUAUUGUUCUUCUGGACUUUCAGUCUGGAAACCCAAAGCACUGAAGGAAAGAUGGCCCUUGCAGACCAUCCCAGGUGGGGAUGAAGGGAGGCCAGGUCUUACCUACCGACCUCUCCUCAGUUAUCAGAGAUGAGUAGUAUGGACUCGUACCAGCUUUUACUUGACACAAGCUAGAAAUCGCUUGGGAAGAGGAAACCUCAGCUGAGAAAACGCCUCCACCAGAUGGGCCUGUGGGCAAGCUUGUGUGGCAUCCUCUUGAUUAGUAGUUGCUGUGGGGGAGCCCAGUUCACUAGGGAAGGUACCACUCCCGGGUCCUGGGUACUAUAGGGAAGUAAAUGAAGCCACGAGAAGAAAGCCGGCCAGCACCACUCCUCCAUGGCUUCUGCUUCGGGUUCUCCUCUGACUUCCCUCCCUUGGGGAUGGAGUUAUGUGUUUUAUCGCAGCAAUAAAAACCCCAGGACACAGCUAACUUGUUUUCUUUUGAGACAGCCUCAAUAUGAUGUCUCAGCUGAACUCAAAGCUUAGACUCCUACCGUGCCUACCCACUUAUCUUUAGCAUUUGUUAGGGAAAUAAAUAGACCACCAAGCUUUUCUAUUUUGCCCUAAGUGGCAUACCACUGUAAAUUGUAAUUUUGUACUCCAUAGGUGGGAUUUGCCAAGACUAGCACAUACCUGUAACGCCAGCACUCAGGAGGCUAAGGCACAGCUAAGUCAGUCUCAAACUCAGGGGUUAGGGAGGGGCAUGGCUUUUGUCUUGAAGUCAAAAUAAGUUGAAAACACCUUAAAAGCACAGGCCACAGGCAUCAGAGAACUCUGCAGUACCAUGGCGGAGGGAAGCCCCCCUCCUAGCUAUCUGGACUCAGUCCCCACCUCUGCCACUUACUAACCUGUGAGUCUGGGUUCCAUCCUCAGCUUCAUAAACUAAAGGCAGGACUCUAAAUCCUGUCUCCCUUAUUGUUCAUGCUGGGAGUUUUAAAGUUCUCUAACAAUUGUGAUCUACAGAAAGUUCCCACUUAUGAAGACAUUAAAAUGCACCCACAGGAACCUAGCAAGGUAACGCAUCUGGAUUUACCACAUGUGAGUGCACUGGCGGGUUUUAAACAGAGUAUGACUGAAGAGGAUAAAGGGCACAGGAAUGGAGACAGUAACAAUAGCAGCAAACUCUGAUCCUUAGGGUCGAGUUCACAGGGAAGUACAGCUCAAAUCCACUUCAACAGCCAUGGAGGAAACCGGUCACAUAUGUAGAAACUGCUGCUGGAAACACUCAGUGGUUAAGGGGACUAAGUGUGGUUCCCAGACCCAAGUCAACCAACCACCUGUAACUUUAGCUCCUGGGGGGGGGGGACCCAACUCCUCUGGCUUCCCAGGACAGCUGUACCUCAAGUACAAAUGCCCACCCCACAUUUAAAAAUAAAUC
Molecule: long non-coding RNA, 2553 nt
Filed under: Mus musculus (house mouse)
Lineage: Eukaryota; Metazoa; Chordata; Mammalia; Rodentia; Muridae
Description: long non-coding RNA chr10:117047194-117049747
Source: RNAcentral